Molecule: ribosomal RNA, 254 nt
Filed under: uncultured bacterium
Lineage: Bacteria
Description: partial 16S ribosomal RNA
Rfam family: Bacterial small subunit ribosomal RNA
Source: RNAcentral
CACGUAGGGGGCAAGCGUUGUCCGGAUUUAUUGGGCGUAAAGAGCUCGUAGGCGGUUUCGUAAGUCGGAUGUGAAAACUCCAGGCUCAACUUGGAGACGCCAUUCGAUACUGCGAUGACUUGAGUCCGGUAGGGGAGUGUGGAAUUCCUGGUGUAGCGGUGAAAUGCGCAGAUAUCAGGAGGAACACCGGUGGCGAAGGCGGGACUCUGGGCCGAUACUGACGCUGAGGAGCGAAAGCGUGGGGAGCAAACAGG